CCGGUCCGCCUCACCGCGUGUACUGGUCCGGCCGGGCCUUUCCUUCUGGAGAGCCCCAUGCCCUUCACUGGGCGUGCGGGGGAACCAGGACUUUUACUUUGAAAAAAUUAGAGUGUUCAAAGCAGGCCUUUGCUCGAAUACGUUAGCAUGGAAUAAUAGAAUAGGACGUGCGGUCCUAUUUUGUUGGUUUCUAGGACCGCCGUAAUGAUUAAUAGGGAUAGUCGGGGGCAUCAGUAUUCAAUUGUCAGAGGUGAAAUUCUUGGAUUUAUUGAAGACUAACUACUGCGAAAGCAUUUGCCAAGGAUGUUUUCAUUAAUCAGUGAACGAAAGUUAGGGGAUCGAAGACGAUCAGAUACCGUCGUAGUCUUAACCGUAAACUAUGCCGACUAGGGAUCGGGCGAUGUUUCUAUCUUGACUCGCUCGGCACCUUACGAGAAAUCAAAGUUUUUGGGUUCUGGGGGGAGUAUGGUCGCAAGGCUGAAACUUAAAGAAAUUGACGGA
Molecule: ribosomal RNA, 501 nt
Filed under: Sporormiaceae sp.
Lineage: Eukaryota; Fungi; Ascomycota; Dothideomycetes; Pleosporales; Sporormiaceae
Description: SSU rRNA
Rfam family: Eukaryotic small subunit ribosomal RNA
Source: RNAcentral